Chelonia mydas (Green sea turtle) is the source of this 2356-nucleotide long non-coding RNA. RefSeq lists it as uncharacterized. The transcript is spliced from 4 exons. Lineage: Eukaryota; Metazoa; Chordata; Testudines; Cheloniidae. The record is from RefSeq and is a predicted model, not a curated record.
AGCAGCCUGCAGUUGUAAGAGGGAGCCAACUGUGAGGGACUCCAGGGAAAAUAGCCUUUGGAGUUUGUGAUUUAUAAAAGACCAGGAGGGCUCGAGAGUAUAGGAAGUGGCCCUGGGAAGAAGCCAGGUGGGUUGAGGCUACUUGGGGGCAGACAGACUAAUUGUUUAGAGCUCCCAGGGCCAGGAACCCAAAAGCUUGCCUCCAGUCAAGCAAGCAAGUAUAAAUAUAAAAGGCUGGAUUGCUGUCAGUUGAAUGUAGUGUUACCUUUUUUAAGCCAAAGGAAGGGCUGGCCAGGCAAACAAGAGUUCCAGACUACUGGAUCCUGGAGCCAGUGAUUAUAUGCAUCCUGCAAAUAACUAGGCUCAGAAAACGAAAGCACACUCUACUGCGUGCACCAGCGAGGACUAUAUAUUCUCUUGGACCUGCAAAUAAAUCCUUUGCUUCAAGGUGUAACAAGAUUGCCACAGGUAUCAGGGUGAAUCUCAUUUCAUGAAUUUCAUUAGGAGGCUGGUAGUUCUUCUAACUGCAAACCACCAACUAGACUCCUCAUCUAGAUGGAAGUUAUCCAUUUGGGAAAGAAACAAUUUAAAUGAUAUGAGGAUCAUGGGCUAUAUGGAAUAAAUGGCGGCUUGUUGUUAAGAAAAGAGUUUUGCACUGCAGACGUUGUACUGUGUAUGCGAUGUUGGGGGAGAACGUGACCAAGAUCAACAACAACAACAGAUGGAAUAAAGCACCUGGUGGGGCGGUUGAAGGCGAAGUAGGAACUGGGCAGCCUUGGGGCUCAUUCAUGUUCCUCUCUCGCAGCCAAUUAUAUGAAAAUGUAUGAAUAUGCAUUUCACUUAUCAAAAUUAAUUAUUUAUAUGGGGCCCAGAUUAAGACUUUCCAGACACUUGCUCACCCCUGUUGUGACCGAGGCUCAUCUUGCUUGUGUGAACACUGAGGCGUAGGUGUGUGUGCGCAUAUGUAUGUAUGAACGUAUAUAUACAGACAUGGAAUAGGUUACCACUUUGCUGAACAUGUAAACGCAGAUUGCACAUGGUGUAAGGAGGCACCAAAUUGUGUCUCACCAACAGGCACUGUCAAUUACGCAUCAUUCUCAUUGAAUAGGGGUUCUUUCCUAAUUAGUAUUAUUUAUAUGGUACCAACAUUGCACUAGACAUUUAGCGGACAAGUAUAUGGUCAAAUACAUUUGCCCCAGACAGCUUACACAAUCUACGUACCCAAAGUACAGAAUGAUGGGGUGCUCCCUCUCUCCUGUCCACAGUUUUUGGGGGGGGGUUGGAGGGGUGGGGGGCUUUCCUGCCUCUGCUGCUGCACUCUGGCCAAAGAUACUUCAACAUUUCUCCUUCAAAAUGGUAUCACUGGAUUAUAAUAAAAGUUGGAGGGAAAGUGCAAGGAUUCCUACAGAUCCAAUAUCUAUGGGGUUUGGGUUGGUAGUGAUGAUCUUGAUAGAAAAGAAGAAUUUUCAGCAGCCGCAAUAUGUCAAUUCCACUUCUCUUCUUUUACGACAAGGACUGUGUCAAUGGACAGUUUAUUGUUCACAGAUUAUUGGUUAUGCACCAGACCAAUGUCAUAAUCCAUCAGGGGACUUUCUUGAAUCAGAGUGGGGUGACUUUUGCAGGGUGAGAAUGGGGAUCACAUCGGUUAUUGCCUCUGUGUAGAUAAAGGGUAUGUGUAGGGGAGAGGAGCUGUGUGUGUCAGCAUGGACCCGGGCUGCCAUGUUCAUGGGAAUGCAAGAUGAUUCCAAGACUUCAGGCAUUACGAAAGGCACCAAGUUCUGCCUCAGCCAAAAUUGUCUGGCCACCACACCACCCCAGCCAUGACUUCUCAUCACGUCACCCUCCUCUAAUGUGACUAGUCUGUCCCUACCCAUAUCUUUUGAGAUUUUUAUCACAUUCUCCUUUUCCCCUGACAUGUGCAGGACUGCCUCGCUUCCCUGCUUUUUCAUGUAUGGGCUCCAAUACCGAGUUGGCUCUUAUUUUAGAUGGAGAUUACUGCCAGAGUCUGUUGCCAUCUAUGUGCAGUAUUUGUUAGAUGUCAAUCUCCAUGCUUUCUGAACAUUGUGGAAAUUACAUAAAGGUUAUUUGAAAAGGCCUGGAAAUUGAUUCUGUUCUUCCCAUUCUGGGACUGGCUAUUUACGUAAAUCUCUCCCUGCCUUUCUCCUACUCAACAUACUUUUCUUGUUUCUUUUGCUCCCUCCUGGACCAAGAAGCUUUGCAUUUGCUCCUUUAAAACAAUGUGGAAGUUUGCAGGAAGGAAGGCAGAUUAAUACAGGUUUAGCUGGUGGAUGCAAUAUUAGGGUCAUACAAAUAGAGAUUAUAAUAUUUUCCAUUUCUCUUCUUUUCGGAUGAGGAC